CAAAUUGUCUGCCAAUCUGCAGGGAGACACAGUAUUUUCAACAGUUCGCAACCGAACUCAGGCAUGCUGACAUCAUAUGGACGCAACUAGAUGCAGCACGGAUGCGGCACCGGGAGUCUGGAGGUGGACGUUUGCACUGGGUGUUUGGGAUAUAAGGACUCAAGAACACUAAACCAAACCAUAUAGAGUGGAAUCAAGGAAGAAAGCGAUAGACAAGAAGAUACAGAAGAAGAAAACAUACAAACAUUUGACCUUUCUCUAAUUGAAAACAUCAAUUAUCUCCAGUGCUUACAAUCACUCCACGAUAUGAAGCUAUAUUGCGUUGUGAUCUAAUACACCAGAUAUAACCUGGUUGUAUAUACCUACCUCAACUGGUACAAUUUGAGGUGUAGACGGUUUAUCAAGUUAUUCCCACCUCAUUGUCUGAGCAUUCAAUUUCUGUACCCCUGAAGAAGUCCCGUUAAGGGACGAAACACGGUGGGUUAAUUUAUCUUUCUGCAUUUGUGUCACUCAGUGAAUCUAUACCAACAAAGAAACUGAAUGUAAAACCGGAUAAAUCCGAAGACACAGCUUUGUGAAACCUUAUCGAUGCU
Molecule: long non-coding RNA, 593 nt
Organism: Pseudophryne corroboree (corroboree frog)
Lineage: Eukaryota; Metazoa; Chordata; Amphibia; Anura; Myobatrachidae
Exons: 3
Source: RefSeq, a predicted model, not a curated record